This is a long non-coding RNA of Pungitius pungitius (ninespine stickleback), 1633 nucleotides long. RefSeq lists it as uncharacterized. The transcript has 3 exons. The record is from RefSeq and is a predicted model, not a curated record. NCBI's taxonomy places the organism in Eukaryota, Metazoa, Chordata, Actinopteri, Perciformes, Gasterosteidae.
GCUGAUCCCUGACACCAUGGUCACCCUACAUGUCAAACUGCAUACUGAUUUUACUAGUUUUAACUGAGAGAUAAAACGGGAUAAGAGCAUAAGUGGUGACAAACCUACUCCUCCAUGUUCUUCCUGACACAAACGGACUAAAUUAGACGGAAGUGAAAUAAUGACAUAUGACAUACAGCCAUUACAGACCGUACAGCCAGGACCGACUGUGAAGGGUUUCCAUCCCCGAGCCAGUCCGGGAGCGAAAAGGCUUUGGAGGAAAUUGGUGGCGAAAACGGCUGUUGUCACCGAACCCCCGACAUGAGUUGUCCUUCUUCCUGCUUGGUCUCCCUGUCCUCAGUGUGACUCUGGGGCUGAUAAGCUCAGGCGGAGGUAUCAAGCGGAGCACCCAUGCAGGGAUCCAUUAGGCAAAAACCAAUUUCACACAGAGCCAAUUUCAUAAAUAUGGAGUAUGGGCCCACCUUUAGCUUUGCAUGACUGGCUUUUAGAGGGAUAUACAAAACCAUAAACAACGAUCCUGUGCCUGAGCAGUCUUUUUAAAUGAUAGCUGAAGUGUGUGGCACAGACCUACACACAUUAAGAUGUAAUUUUAAGAAUUUAAUGUUGAUCACAAUGAAUAAGUAUUUCUUUUAACAUACAGACAACCCUCAUGGAGGAUUCAAGAUAUGUUUGAGACAUUUUGUAAUGUAGAAUAAUGCUGUGUUCAUUUUAGUUAUGAACAUGUGUAACAGUACAGCAUUCAUUGAUUAUAAUUGCCCAUUAGUGCGUAUACAACAUAUUUGCUUUGGCUUGGUUUGAUUUGUUUAUAUUGAGCCCUUGUCAUGAGACCUUUGCCUUAAGUGACACAGCAGUCUUGCAAUUCUGGCUUUUCAGUUUGCAUCGUUCCACCUGGUCGGUGCUUCAAUCAUCCAAUAAGUCCCCGAUUUGAUUAUUUUGUAUUUUUAUUAUUAUUACACCGGUCUGAGAAUAUUUGUAUUGCAUACUCUGCUAUGACUAUUUCAAGUAACACUUGUACUUUUAUUUACAUUUGUCAUGAUAUAACAACAAUUUUCUGCAAUACUAUAUUAUGAUAGUUCACUUUUUCACAUAAUUAUGGCAUGACACAUGAAAUAGAAUACCAAAACCUUUAUGUACUACUGUACUUUGAUCAUUUCAUGGCUUUUUACUUACAUUUAGUAAGUUUUUGGACACCCUAUACUGUAACAUUUGACAUUUGUAUUCGUUUGACAGUCUAUACUGUGACUUUUUAAGACAUGAUCUCUUCAGAGCAGAAAUGUACAGAUCACAGCUUCUGGCGCUGCUGCAGAUUCCUUCACAGAGGCUUUGUAUUAAUUCUCUGAAGCCACCACUGUGAGCGUCCUAAAGGUCGGUAUAAAUUAGAAAAUAACUAGUAAGUAACUGUCACAUUAAACCAUCAUCCCUACUUUUAAAUGUGCCCUUUGAAUGUCUCCACACUAUAAGCCAUAGCUGAAGCUCAGUUUGUCUGGUUUUUUUCCGUCGAGAAAUAAUUGGAAAUGGGGCACUAUACUAGCAUUCUUUUACCAUUUUUUUUUUUUAAACAAAUAUUUAAGUCUUUCUACGCUAUUAAGCUAUGAACGUGACUAAUACACUUUUGCUAUUACUUAAAGUGAAA